This 76-nucleotide transfer RNA is filed under the name Escherichia coli. Its description in RNAcentral is "tRNA-Lys". It matches the Rfam family "tRNA". Rfam says of the family: Transfer RNA (tRNA) molecules are approximately 80 nucleotides in length. Their secondary structure includes four short double-helical elements and three loops (D, anti-codon, and T loops). Lineage: Bacteria; Pseudomonadati; Pseudomonadota; Gammaproteobacteria; Enterobacterales; Enterobacteriaceae. RNAcentral also lists the same sequence under 1 other name. The record is from RNAcentral.
GGGUCGUUAGCUCAGUUGGUAGAGCAGUUGACUUUUAAUCAAUUGGUCGCAGGUUCGAAUCCUGCACGACCGACCA